RNAcentral lists this ribosomal RNA (427 nucleotides) under Epipedobates anthonyi. RNAcentral describes it as "partial 12S ribosomal RNA". It matches the Rfam family "Bacterial small subunit ribosomal RNA", at positions 894 to 1522 of the family's 1533-position model. Lineage: Eukaryota; Metazoa; Chordata; Amphibia; Anura; Dendrobatidae. The record is from RNAcentral.
UUAAAACCCAAAGGACUUGACGGUACCCCAUAUCCCCCUAGAGGAGCCUGUCCUAUAAUCGAUAACCCCCGUUUUACCUCACCAUUUUUUGUUAAUCAGCCUGUAUACCUCCGUCGUCAGCUUACCACGUGAGCGUGUGAGCUAAAUGUUUUUUCAACCACACGUCAGGUCAAGGUGCAGCAAAUAAAAUGGAAAGAGAUGGGCUACACUCUCUAUUCUAGAAUAAACAAAAGACUAAAUGAAACCCGGUCAGAAGGCGGAUUUAGCAGUAAAAUGAAACUAGAGCGUUCAUUUAAACAUGGCACUGGGGUGUGUACACACCGCCCGUCACCCUCCUCAAUGCUUCAAAACAGUAUUUCACACUUUUUAGCUCCACAGAAGAGGCAAGUCGUAACAUGGUAAGUAUACCGGAAGGUAUGCUUGGAAU